GCCCUCGUAGCUCAGUUGGUCAGAGUGCGUCCUUGGUAAGGACGAGGUCGUCGGUUCAAUUCCGACCGUGGGCUCCA
RNAcentral lists this transfer RNA (77 nucleotides) under bacterium. Its description in RNAcentral is "tRNA-Thr". It matches the Rfam family "tRNA". Rfam says of the family: Transfer RNA (tRNA) molecules are approximately 80 nucleotides in length. The record is from RNAcentral.